CAAAAAUGUCCGUUUUUGAGCAACUACGCCCAUUCGUAAGCCUUUGUCAAGCUUGUGGCAUGAUCCCUUUUACUAUCGAACAAAAUCAGAUUACUAACAAAUUUGAGAAAUUUACUUUUUCUUUUCGACACCUCACUACCUGGUGGUUUUUCCUAGUUAUGUUUAUUGAAACUAUAGUUAUGAGCGUGAUGGGAUACGUCUCUUUCAUUCAAACAUUUGAUAUGCUAAACGGUCAAAAUUUGCCUAUCACUGUAAUUAUCCUUUUAUUUGUAAUUGGAAUGUCUUACUUCGCUCAACUACUCUUAUCUCGUUGGAUCAUUCUCCACUACCGUCAACUACGCAAUGCGAUCGAAAUCAUUCAAGAAGUGGAGAAACUUUUUGGAGAGAAGUUUAUUUCGCGACACCCGAGCUCCGUUACGACACGAUUUAUUAUCGGCUUUGUUCUCGUCGUUAUUUCGGCUAUAGGAACUUUGACUCUAUCUACUUCGGUUCACCGACAGUUUUCAUCAUUGAUUUACACGAAUAACGUCUUUGCUUCAGUUGCUACAUUUUCCACUUUAGCAUUUAUCUACUUGUUAUUUGAAUCUACAUUUUUUUUCUUUCAUAUGUGUUAUUACAUAAUUGCUUACUAUGUCCAACUUCUGAUAAUAUGCUCCGAUGACGAAAAUCAAACAAUUUCGCAGAAGACGUAAGAGCCUUUUUUGUGGUCAUCAUUUGUAGAAGUGAUGUGGUAAUCAUUUAUAUGAUUUAAAACAGGAAGGAUAGGAUAGGAGCGCUGAAAAAAAACACUCUGAUUUUGAAUUACCUUUGUCGGGCCUCACAGGAAUUAAAUGGAAUUUUUUCCGUCCCAGUUUUAAUUUUGUUGACUGCAAAAUUCAUCUCGGUCGUCACCACUGCUUUCGCAUAUAUUUACAACUGUUUUAUUCGUUCAAACGUUGUCUUGGAUAGUUACAGUUGGCUGUUUCUUUUCAUGUUUUUCACUGAUUGGAUCAAAAUUUUGAUCCUUUUUAACGCUGCUGACAUGCCCGUUAAUCAGGUUGUUACACAACAAUUUUUAACGCGCUAGCCGCUAGGUAACCUUAUUUUGUGUUGUCGCCAGAUUCGUCUUCUCCGCGACAAAGUUACCGCAAUAUCAUCUUAUGGAUUGUCUCAUUCGUUGGCCGAAAAAAUCACGUUAAUGACUUCCCUGGUGCAGAUUGACGAAAAUCGUGUCCGAUUGUCCGCUGCUGGACUGUUUAAGGUGGGGAUGCACCUUGUUCCGGCUUUGGCAGGUGCUGUAGUGACGUACAUGGUUAUCCUCCUUCAAAAUUAGAUCAGCCUAUCAGAACGGUUGAGAAAAGGAAAAGUACUCACAUAGAAAUUCGUACAUUUUGAAAAAUAUAUCUAUCUGAGCAAUUACUUAUAUGCUUACUCGUUUUGGACUUUUGGGACAAAAACAAAAGCUAAUAAAA
Molecule: long non-coding RNA, 1451 nt
Organism: Daphnia pulicaria
Lineage: Eukaryota; Metazoa; Arthropoda; Branchiopoda; Diplostraca; Daphniidae
Exons: 4
Source: RefSeq, a predicted model, not a curated record